This 653-nucleotide unclassified non-coding RNA is filed under the name Athalia rosae (coleseed sawfly). RNAcentral describes it as "misc RNA ENSAEAG00005008507.1". Lineage: Eukaryota; Metazoa; Arthropoda; Insecta; Hymenoptera; Athaliidae. The record is from RNAcentral.
UGCCGAGGGUUUCAGGAAGAAGAAGAGUAACCGCUGCACAAACGAAGCAUAAUGUGCUGAGCAGAAGAUCUGGAAGAGGUACAAUAUUAGGGGGCUCAUAAAACUGGCGGCAUAUCCAACAACGUGAAUGAGAGCGACCCCUCGACCUCUGAUUACCGUUGGUAUUAAUUCAGCGGCGUAUUGAGAUCCGGAAUUGAAGGCAACGACUACACAGAGCCUCGCCGUUACUGUGAGACCUACGCUUAAUCGGACGAUCGUCUGUUGAGAAAGGACCGCUGGAUGAAAGAGGAAAAUUUUCAACUGGAUGUGAGAAAAGCUGACAUCAAAACGGCUAGGAAGAAAAGUGCCUUCCUUCCUAUUUUAUCCUGCAAUAACAGGAUCACAAUACCCGCGGGAAAGAUCGUCAGCGAACCAAGCGAAAAUACUAAAAAUGGCGACGCGCCAUUCACGUUUACGUUCCUUGAUAUCGCGUCGUAGCAAAGCGUCAAAGUCAUUCUACGAGCAGGGCAACGGCCAACCAAGGGACAACGCUACAUCCGAGGCAGUAAAAUAUUCCUAUGCAAACGUUCAGCCCGAAAGUUCUCAUCGAAGGCCGUACGUACUCCAUGACUGAUUGAUCGAAAGAGAAGCAUUUGAACUCGGAUAAUAACCAG